UACAGAGGGUGCGAGCGUUGUCCGGAAUCACUGGGCGUAAAGGGCGCGUAGGUGGCGACCCAAGUCUGUGGUGAAAGCUCGCCGCUUAACGGCGAGUCGGCCACGGAUACUGGGUGGCUCGAGCACUGUAGGGGCAGAUGGAAUUCCGGGUGUAGCGGUGGAAUGCGUAGAGAUCCGGAAGAACACCGGUGGCGAAGGCGGGUCUCUGGGCCGAUACUGACGCUGAGGAGCGAAAGCGUGGGGAGCGAACAGG
RNAcentral lists this ribosomal RNA (253 nucleotides) under uncultured bacterium. RNAcentral's name for it is "partial 16S ribosomal RNA". It matches the Rfam family "Bacterial small subunit ribosomal RNA", at positions 524 to 776 of the family's 1533-position model. The record is from RNAcentral.